GACGAACGCUGGCGGCGUGCCUAAUACAUGCAAGUUGAGCGCUGAAGGUUGGUACUUGUACCAACUGGAUGAGCAGCGAACGGGUGAGUAACGCGUGGGGAAUCUGCCUUUGAGCGGGGGACAACAUUUGGAAACGAAUGCUAAUACCGCAUAAAAACUUUAAACACAAGUUUUAAGUUUGAAAGAUGCAAUUGCAUCACUCAAAGAUGAUCCCGCGUUGUAUUAGCUAGUUGGUGAGGUAAAGGCUCACCAAGGCGAUGAUACAUAGCCGACCUGAGAGGGUGAUCGGCCACAUUGGGACUGAGACACGGCCCAAACUCCUACGGGAGGCAGCAGUAGGGAAUCUUCGGCAAUGGACGAAAGUCUGACCGAGCAACGCCGCGUGAAUGAAGAAGGGUUUCGGAUCGUAAAACUCUGUUGGUAGAGAAGAACGUUGGUGAGAGUGGAAAGCUCAUCAAGUGACGGUAACUACACAGAAAGGGACGGCUAACUACGUG
RNAcentral lists this ribosomal RNA (497 nucleotides) under uncultured bacterium. Its description in RNAcentral is "partial 16S ribosomal RNA". It matches the Rfam family "Bacterial small subunit ribosomal RNA", at positions 28 to 507 of the family's 1533-position model. The record is from RNAcentral.